Long non-coding RNA from Thalassophryne amazonica, 151 nucleotides. RefSeq lists it as uncharacterized. The record is from RefSeq and is a predicted model, not a curated record. The transcript is spliced from 3 exons. NCBI's taxonomy places the organism in Eukaryota, Metazoa, Chordata, Actinopteri, Batrachoidiformes, Batrachoididae.
GGUCCUCCGAUGAGUUUCAGUCAGUUCGUAUGAGCAGUUCUGCAUGAGGCCCACUGUGAUCUAAGGCAGGUGUUUCAUAGAAUCAUUAAGGCCCAGCUGGUGCAGUUCCAUGUUUUACAAAAGUGCCGAUACAUAUGUAAAACUUGUGUCA